RNAcentral lists this ribosomal RNA (466 nucleotides) under uncultured bacterium. Its description in RNAcentral is "partial 16S ribosomal RNA". It matches the Rfam family "Bacterial small subunit ribosomal RNA", at positions 28 to 507 of the family's 1533-position model. The record is from RNAcentral.
GAUGAACGCUGGCGGCGUGCUUAACGCAUGCAAGUCGAACGGAAAGGCCCAAGCUUGCUUGGGUACUCGAGUGGCGAACGGGUGAGUAACACGUGGGUGAUCUGCCCUGCACUUCGGGAUAAGCCUGGGAAACUGGGUCUAAUACCGGAUAGGACCACAUUUUGGAUGGUGUGGUGGAAAGUUUUUCGGUGUGGGAUGAGCUCGCGGCCUAUCAGCUUGUUGGUGGGGUAAUGGCCUACCAAGGCGUCGACGGGUAGCCGGCCUGAGAGGGUGUACGGCCACAUUGGGACUGAGAUACGGCCCAGACUCCUACGGGAGGCAGCAGUGGGGAAUAUUGCACAAUGGGCGCAAGCCUGAUGCAGCGACGCCGCGUGGGGGAUGACGGCCUUCGGGUUGUAAACUCCUUUCGCUAGGGACGAAGCGUUAUGUGACGGUACCUGGAGAAGAAGCACCGGCUAACUACGUG